Biomphalaria glabrata is the source of this 2950-nucleotide long non-coding RNA. RefSeq lists it as uncharacterized. The transcript has 2 exons. NCBI's taxonomy places the organism in Eukaryota, Metazoa, Mollusca, Gastropoda, Planorbidae. The record is from RefSeq and is a predicted model, not a curated record.
UGUUCAAUCUGUGUAACAAGCCUGUAUGGCCGAAAGUAGUGCGAGAGGGCUGUUAUUGCUUGUAUUCAAGACAAAUCAAUUCAACAUGAUUAUAACAUUAUGAUAUUAGAUACACAAUGAGAUUUACAUGCUAGAUAAGAUUUUUUAUUUCUAUAACCUGUUUAUCAAGCUUGACGAUUGCUAACUCGUCCAUAACUCAUUAAAAUCGGUACCGCAUCUUUGUGGCAGGUUGAACAAAAAUAAUAAUAAUUAGAGAAAAAGAAACAGAAAAUCUUACUCGAAAUCAAUACGAAAGGAGAUUACUUUGGAUCGGACAUGUUACAGACAUGUUCCCGUAAGCUGGAUAGAAAAACCCAAUUUAAAUUGUGCUGAGCUUUUAGAGAGAGUCAGACUGCGGGAAGCCCAAGACUAGCAUACAGAGAUGUCUGCAAGAGAGAUCUAAGGUCUACAGGCCAAUUAGUUAUAUGACAGAAAUUUUAACUAAAUUGAAAUUGCAACAUUGGCUAUUUCUAAAUGGUUCUACCUUGCUAGGUCUAUUAAGUCAGUUCUAUGACAGAAAUUUUAAUUAAGCUAAUCAGAAUACAAAUCUUAACUUUGCAGAAAGAGCUCUUCAACAAGAAAAUCUUGACAGUUUAGAAACAUUGUUCAACAUUAUUUACUAAACAAGAUUUUACAGAAAAUAAUGUGGACAGCUUAUGAACAAAUAGAAUGGGAAACCUUGGUAUAGAGAUUAUCAAUGAUGAUAAGAUGUUAUAAAAAUAAUACUGUCAUUUCAGUAUAUGUAACACAAUGUUAAAUAUACUCAAUUCUAAUUCUAAAAAAAAAAUACACUUCUCUAAUGUUUCUUAAUCCCCCUCCCAAGACAAAAAAAGACAAAUAUUAUAUAUGAUUAUAAGCUUUUUAAUAACAAGGAAAUAAAAUAUAACAUACUAUUAUACACACAAUAUAUGUUAAAGAAAACGUUUUUAAAGUCCUAAACAUUCAUCCACACAACACACAGCAAUUCAACAUUGGUGCACAUUAACAUAAGGCUGAACUACUUUAAUUUUUUUUAAAAUCACAAAACAGAUUUCUAUCUUCUCAAUAAAGCAGAUAUCCUCAAGAAUCAUUCUUACAGACAAUUCACCAAGUUCAGUCACUGUGAUUACUAAUGUCAGAGAGUACUCUCACAAUAAAAAACUUGUCAAUGAGAUAUUCAAUAAGAUUGCUACAACUUUUUACCAAAAACAUGAUCAAUAAUCAAUCAAAAAUAAGCUAUGCAUCAGCAAAUGCACAAUCUUCAGACAUCAGUCAACAUUCUAACUGUAAGACAAGUAAAUGAAAAUUGCAUUUGUAAUUAAUAUCAAAAAAUCAAUCUUAAAUCUUCUUUAUCUAAUCAUAAACUCACAUGGUUGUUGUUUUUUUGUUUUUUACAUCUUGUCAAUAACUUUUGUAAAAGUAAUAUAACACAAAUUACAAGUUUAGCUUUGUCUUACAAAAUACUGACAUACAAUAGGAUGGUAAAAAAUCCUGACCCUGAAAUAUGAGUUCUGGUCUGUAUGUUUGCAAGAGAUUUUGGGAUGCUUCCAAGUUGACUAUAGACACUUUUCAAUUAAUUAUAAAUUCAAACUAUAAUCUACCACAAUACUUUUUUUUUAAAUUUAUGCUUUCUUAUACACAAUUUUAUUCUAUAAUACUGAUAUAAAAUGUGUGUACCAUAGUCAACAAUUAUUUAUUACACAUACAAUAUGUUUAAAUUUUAGCGGCUAUACAUAUAUAGAACAUCUGUAAACAUGCAGUUUUGAAGAUCAUAUCAUCACCAAUAAUACUAAAACAGAAUAAAAGAAAUAAAAAAAACAGUAAUAGCCUAUUAAUAGCAUUAGUAAUAAUGUAAUAAAACAUCUCUAUAAAAGUCUAUUGUAAGUAAAACACUUAAUAUCAGGCUAACAUUUGUUUCUUUAUUUUUUAUUUCUGCGAAUAUUUUGGCACUGUUUGCCAACUCGAAUUAGUACAAAAAUUAUACUAGAUAACUAUAGACAUUAGCUUUAAUUAUAAAUAAACCACCAUGUAUCAUUUUUUGAAAAUUAAGCAACUACAUCUAAAUCUAGAGCUUAAACUUUGUCAUAGCUUGCUUUUAUAAUUGUAGAGCUUUAUUGCAUUUCGUACAAUUAAUCAAUGAAGCAUUAUUACUUAUGUUCUCUUCAUUUACAAGUAAAGUAGAUCAUUAAUAAAGAAAACAAUUUCUGCAACUCCAUGACAAUACUAUUCUUAAUACCAGGAAACAAAUACAAGGGAAAUAAUCAUGAAAACUUUAAUAUAUCAAAAUAUCAAUUUUUAUUAUAGCCCAUACAUUAUAUUUAUUGUUAGAAUAUUGUUCAUAUUUUAUAAUUGGUGAAGUUAAAAGUGCGAAUGGCUAAAUGUACUGCAAACAGCAAAUGUACAUUGGUAAUAUGUAAUGUCCUAAUAUCCAUUUAUUUUUUCAUUGAGCUUAUAACAGGAUUAUAAUGAUUAUAUUAAUAGUCUCAUUGUAUUCUGAUGUAUUUGAUUUCAGAUUAUUUUGUAAAUGUUUGUAUAUAGUGUUGUCUACAGACAUUAGUAGUAUUAUAGCAGCAAACUAUGUUAGCCUAUAUUGACAUAUACAAUGGUUGAAACUUAAGUCUAUGAGACAUCAUCAACAGUUGUUGUUUUUUUCUAAUAGAAUAAAAAACCUACAGUAAGUACAAUCCCACCAUGUUAGUCUAAAGUUCUAUUAUCUCGCAUUGGAAGCAGCAAGCAUUCUUUCUUGUCUGUCUUGUUCUUUAACUUGCUCCUGAGCUUCCUUCUGCAUUUUCUCCAUUUUCUCUAGAGUUACAGAUUUCAAAGGAAGAAUUUUAGGCUUGCACAGAACAAUGGUAGAUGAGUCUUCUUGAUAAAUCUGACCAGUUUUAGGCAACCACUCUGCAAAUUUAUCUUGUGACAUUUUUGAAAAAUC